RNAcentral lists this ribosomal RNA (225 nucleotides) under uncultured Acinetobacter sp. RNAcentral describes it as "partial 16S ribosomal RNA". It matches the Rfam family "Bacterial small subunit ribosomal RNA", at positions 568 to 792 of the family's 1533-position model. The record is from RNAcentral. Lineage: Bacteria; Pseudomonadati; Pseudomonadota; Gammaproteobacteria; Moraxellales; Moraxellaceae.
UGCGCAGGCUGUUGAGUAAGACAGAUGUGAAAUCCCUGAGCUUAACUUAGGAAUUGCAUUCGAUACUGGGAAGCUAGAGUAUGGGAGAGGAUGGUAGAAUUCCAGGUGUAGCGGUGAAAUGCGUAGAGAUCUGGAGGAAUACCGAUGGCGAAGGCAGCCAUCUGGCCUAAUACUGACGCUGAGGUACGAAAGCAUGGGGAGCAAACAGGAUUAGAUACCCUAGUA